RNAcentral lists this long non-coding RNA (222 nucleotides) under Elaeis guineensis (African oil palm). Its description in RNAcentral is "long non-coding RNA (EGUI_LNC080361)". Lineage: Eukaryota; Viridiplantae; Streptophyta; Magnoliopsida; Arecales; Arecaceae. The record is from RNAcentral.
GAUUUAGAUUGAUUAGUGAUGUAGACACUACAAAGGCCUUCCUUCAUUCUUAAUCAAUAGAGCAUGUCAAGAUCUUAGUAAGCUUGUUAUACCAUCUACAAGACUUACUAUAAAAAUUGAUAUAAUAUUGACUAAGUGCAUAUUGAUGCUUAUGACAUAUUUGAAUAGUGCUGCCUUAUUGUGCUAUCCACAAGGGUGGCAUUGUUUAAGUAUGAUCAUAUG